Molecule: ribosomal RNA, 759 nt
Filed under: uncultured bacterium
Lineage: Bacteria
Description: bacterial SSU rRNA
Rfam family: Bacterial small subunit ribosomal RNA
Source: RNAcentral
GACGAACGCUGGCGGCGUGUCUAACACAUGCAAGUCGAACGGUAACAGGAAGAAGCUUGCUUCUUUGCUGACGAGUGGCGGACGGGUGAGUAAUGUCUGGGAAACUGCCUGAUGGAGGGGGAUAACUACUGGAAACGGUAGCUAAUACCGCAUAACGUCGCAAGACCAAAGAGGGGGACCUUCGGGCCUCUUGCCAUCGGAUGUGCCCAGAUGGGAUUAGCUAGUAGGUGGGGUAACGGCUCACCUAGGCGACGAUCCCUAGCUGGUCUGAGAGGAUGACCAGCCACACUGGAACUGAGACACGGUCCAGACUCCUACGGGAGGCAGCAGUGGGGAAUAUUGCACAAUGGGCGCAAGCCUGAUGCAGCCAUGCCGCGUGUAUGAAGAAGGCCUUCGGGUUGUAAAGUACUUUCAGCGGGGAGGAAGGGAGUAAAGUUAAUACCUUUGCUCAUUGACGUUACCCGCAGAAGAAGCACCGGCUAACUCCGUGCCAGCAGCCGCGGUAAUACGGAGGGUGCAAGCGUUAAUCGGAAUUACUGGGCGUAAAGCGCACGCAGGCGGUUUGUUAAGUCAGAUGUGAAAUCCCCGGGCUCAACCUGGGAACUGCAUCUGAUACUGGCAAGCUUGAGUCUCGUAGAGGGGGGUAGAAUUCCAGGUGUAGCGGUGAAAUGCGUAGAGAUCUGGAGGAAUACCGGUGGCGAAGGCGGCCCCCUGGACGAAGACUGACGCUCANGUGCGAAAGCGUGGGGAGCAAACAGG